RNAcentral lists this ribosomal RNA (808 nucleotides) under uncultured Pelagibacteraceae bacterium. RNAcentral's name for it is "bacterial SSU rRNA". It matches the Rfam family "Bacterial small subunit ribosomal RNA", at positions 34 to 890 of the family's 1533-position model. The record is from RNAcentral. Lineage: Bacteria; Pseudomonadati; Pseudomonadota; Alphaproteobacteria; Candidatus Pelagibacterales; Candidatus Pelagibacteraceae.
CGCUGGCGGCACGCCUAACACAUGCAAGUCGAACGAAGUAGCAAUACUUAGUGGCAGACGGGUGAGUAACAUGUAGGUAUCUGCCCUUUGGCCUGGAAUAACACGAGGAAACUUGUGCUAAUACCGGAUAAGUCUUUACGGAGAAAGCUUUAUGCACCAUUGGAUGAGCCUGCACUUGAUUAGUUUGUUGGUAGGGUAAUGGCCUACCAAGACUAUGAUCAAUAGCUGAUUUGAGAGGAUGAUCAGCCACAUUGGGACUGAGACACGGCCCAAACUCCUACGGGAGGCAGCAGUGGGGAAUCUUGCACAAUGGAGGAAACUCUGAUGCAGCGAUGCCGCGUGAGUGAAGAAGGCCCUUGGGUUGUAAAGCUCUUUCGUCGGGGAAGAAAAUGACUGUACCCGAAUAAGAAGGUCCGGCUAACUUCGUGCCAGCAGCCGCGGUAAUACGAAGGGACCUAGCGUAGUUCGGAAUUACUGGGCUUAAAGAGUUCGUAGGUGGUUGAAAAAGUUGGUGGUGAAAUCCCAGAGCUUAACUCUGGAACUGCCAUCAAAACUUUUCAGCUAGAGUUUGAUAGAGGAAAGCAGAAUUUCUAGUGUAGAGGUGAAAUUCGUAGAUAUUAGAAAGAAUACCAAUUGCGAAGGCAGCUUUCUGGAUCAUUACUGACACUGAGGAACGAAAGCAUGGGUAGCGAAGAGGAUUAGAUACCCUCGUAGUCCAUGCCGUAAACGAUGUGUGUUAGACGUUGGAAAUUUAUUUUCAGUGUCGCAGCAAAAGCGAUAAACACACCGCCUGGGGAGUACGACCGCA